UACGUAGGGUGCGAGCGUUAAUCGGAAUUACUGGGCGUACAGCGUGCGUAGGCGGUUUCGCAAGUCCGCUGUGAAAGCCCCGGGCUUAACCUGGGAAUGGCCGUGGAAACUAUGGGACUUGAAUCUGGCAGAGGGGGGUGGAAUGCCACGUGUAGCAGUGAAAUGCGUAGAGAUGUGGAGGAACACCGAUGGCGAAGGCAGCCCCCGGGGCCAAGAUUGACGCUGAGGCACGAAAGCGUGGGGAGCAAACAGG
Molecule: ribosomal RNA, 253 nt
Filed under: uncultured bacterium
Lineage: Bacteria
Description: partial 16S ribosomal RNA
Rfam family: Bacterial small subunit ribosomal RNA
Source: RNAcentral